Molecule: non-coding RNA, 2135 nt
Organism: Cinara cedri
Lineage: Eukaryota; Metazoa; Arthropoda; Insecta; Hemiptera; Aphididae
Source: the annotation of a GenBank genome assembly
GUCGACAAGUUAUUAUUUUAAAUAUAUUUUAAACAUAAAUACUUAUAUUAUGUAGAAAGAAAAUAAACUGAUUUAAAUGAACGAUUAUAUAGUGAUUGUACUUAGGCUUUGAUACAAGAUAAUAUUAAUUUAUUGAUAUAAAACGCGUUAAAUGCCUUAUAUAUAAAUACAUUACGUAUAUUUAAAGAAUAUUAUAAUAUUUCGUUUAACUUAUGAUUAGGUAGUAAAUCGUACGACCGUGUAUAACCGCCUACAUUGAUUAAAUUUUAAGUUUGAUAUCAUCAAUAAACAAAAACAAAAAAAAAAAAAAAGGUAAGUAGUAGAACAAACAUUUGAGAAAUACAUACUCGUAAUUAAAAAUAAUAUGGUAAUCUUUGUUUUGUAAAUCGAUAAGCGUGACUUGAAAACCCAGUUAACCAAUCUAUUUUUUUCUUAAACAAUUAAACGGUUUAAUAAAUAUGAAAAUAAUGUUAUAAUAAAUUCACGGAUAAUGAAGAUUAGGAUGGGAUAUAACCAACUGAGGCUGCAUUUUAUUUUCGUGAUCCUCAACUUAUAAUAAACGUGAGGCAAAUGUUUGUUUACAUUUUUCUAUAAAAUAUUGGAGUGUCAAACAAGUGACACAUUGUAGACACACUACAAUAAUGAAAACUACGGUCUUUAUUGAUCUGAUGAUAUGUCUCAUCCAUGUUUUAUUACUUAUGUGAACGAAUUUGGCCCCAUUUAUCACAAUGACAAUGAAUUGAAUUUAUGCGAUUUUAUCAAUAUUUGCAGGUUGUAUAUUCAGGUCGGUUUCUUAUGCGUCUCUUGAAAUUACAAUUUUAGACGAAUACCUAACCGUAUAUUGCAUGGUUCACGGUUUGGAAUCUUUUAAAAUUUAAUGUUAUUUUUCGAGAAUCCGAUAAAAUAAAUUCGGUGCAUUAUAAAUCGGUGAACACAAAAAAUAAGAAAUAUUGCUGGAAUACCGCCUUUGGAAAAUAUGAUAAUAUUAUAAAAUGUGACUACGUAACUAUAUGAUCAUAAAUUAUUAUGAUAUGAUGUGCGACAAAAAUUAAACAUACCAAAUAAUUUCUAACAAAUCAUAAUGAUUAUUAGUACCUCUAUAACGUUGUAAUAAUUUUAUUUUUAUUUUCAUAAGUUGAAGAUACUUUGUGCCCAUAUAUAAUUAUUACAUAGAUACGUCCAAUAAAAACAGCCCGAAUGAUGGAUUUUACGUGAUUAUACAGAUCGCUGACGUUUCAAAAUUAAUUGACAUACCGCUGAUAAACUGCUCGUAUGGAUAUUCCUUUUACUUUGAUGUUGUGUUUCAUAAAAUGUUCCACGUGUUCCUUAAAUCUUUCGCCUGUAUACAUUUUGUAUCACAAAGGCGAACAAUGAAAGUGAGCGGUGGAUAAGGAAUCCAUACACUCUUCCCAAUAUUUCGUCCAAGGUUUUGUACAUCAAAAACGGUUAUAUUGUAUAAUAUAAUAAUAGAGUCUAAUACUACAUUAUAUGAAAAUAAUAAAUUCCCAUAUGGUUAUAUAUUGAAUUUAUGAAAAUUAUCGAUAAAAAUAAAUUUCUACCCACAUAGGUGUGUUUAGGCUGGCUGAAAGGACAAACGCCAUUAUUUUUAGGGAUUUCCAUUAGAGAAGUAAGAACUUAUGGUACUUAUGAAACAUCUUAUAAAUUUAAAAAUAGAUUAUUGCCCAAUAAUUAUCUUAUUAAACCAAUUUUACUUAUCAUCUUAGUCUAACUUAAUAAUUUAUUGAAAUUUUGAAUUAUGUACCUACAUAUUGAAAUAAUAAAAAAAAUACUUUGGUUUAUAAUCGGGGGACAGCUGCUUACUUGGCUUCUUCGUAAACACGACUAUGAUUAUCUAUGUAUAUGAAUUCAAAUCUAUAUUAGAGUAAUGAAUAAUGAUUAUAUGAAAAUCAAAAUUCAAAUGAUGAACACUUUUAAAAUAUAUAUUAAAAAGUUCACUUUGAAUCACUUUCGGUUUAGAAUCUAGAUUCUUAUUCAAAGCCUCGAUUAAACAAAACGAAAACGCAAGCUGCAGCAUACCAGACACUUGUUACAUAUUUUAUAUACUAUAAUAAUAAUACCUAGUACCUACCUAGCUGAAUAAAUUACGUGUUGCCCCCGUGUAAACAGUUUUUGCC